AGUGGUGGUUGGCGUGUAUUGGCGUGUCGGUUCCCUGCUCGGGCAGCGACGGCACCUCUUGCACGCCUCUUCAUUUGUCGGAUCAAGCAAUGCUUGUCCAUCGUCGGUUAUCCUGUGCUAAAUACCAAUAAAGAGGGCAUUACGUCGGCUGAAACGAUCGCAUCACCGUCCAGCGUUGCUGCUCCUCGUGGGCGUGCGGCGCGGGACGAUCACCGAAGCACUCUCCGUGUUUCGCACCACUUUUGCCGGCAACGGCAUUUGGGGCGACGACGCACGGCGGGAUGCUCGAUAUCUCGGGUACGGAAAAUCUUGYGGGUAGGAUGCCGUCGGCAUCCGAUCACCACAUAAUUGCGUUCUACGCUAAUUGCGGACGACGGUUGGCUCGGCUUGCGGUCUUGCACUCGCUGCUCGACCGCUGCCGUUUCGACGUCGGUGAGGAAUGC
Molecule: unclassified non-coding RNA, 443 nt
Filed under: Lavandula stoechas
Lineage: Eukaryota; Viridiplantae; Streptophyta; Magnoliopsida; Lamiales; Lamiaceae
Description: partial external transcribed spacer
Source: RNAcentral